This 114-nucleotide ribosomal RNA is filed under the name Escherichia coli. The record is from RNAcentral. Lineage: Bacteria; Pseudomonadati; Pseudomonadota; Gammaproteobacteria; Enterobacterales; Enterobacteriaceae.
UGGCGGCCGUAGCGCGGUGGUCCCACCUGACCCCAUGCCGAACUCAGAAGUGAAACGCCGUAGCGCCGAUGGUAGUGUGGGGUCUCCCCAUGUGAGAGUAGGGAACUGCCAGGC